ACUUCAUGGAGAGUUUGAUCCUGGCUCAGGACGAACGCUGGCGGCGUGCCUAAUACAUGCAAGUCGAGCGCAGGAAACUGACGGAACUCUUCGGAGGGAAGGCAGUGGAAUGAGCGGCGGACGGGUGAGUAACACGUAAGGAACCUGCCUCAAGGAUUGGGAUAACUCCGAGAAAUCGGAGCUAAUACCGGAUAGUUC
Molecule: ribosomal RNA, 198 nt
Filed under: Exiguobacterium indicum
Lineage: Bacteria; Bacillati; Bacillota; Bacilli; Caryophanales
Description: partial 16S rRNA. Bacterial SSU
Rfam family: Bacterial small subunit ribosomal RNA
Source: RNAcentral